Acanthochromis polyacanthus (spiny chromis) is the source of this 9422-nucleotide RNA transcript. It is a transcript of the gene named KH domain containing, RNA binding, signal transduction associated 2, with no coding region annotated. The record is from RefSeq and is a predicted model, not a curated record. NCBI's taxonomy places the organism in Eukaryota, Metazoa, Chordata, Actinopteri, Pomacentridae. The transcript has 12 exons.
CAGACCCACAGAGUCUGGCGGGGAGCCGAGGAGGAGGAGAGGCAGCAGCGGCAGCGGCAGCGGCGGUGGAGGAGAUGGACUCACACCUCUGAAUCACAACUCAGCCUCCAGUCACGGGGACUUGGGACGACUAAGUGUUCUGGAGCGGGAUUUUUGCUCGUGUUGCUCACUGAGACUGAAAAAAAUAGUAAUAAUAAGCAGCACAGGAGCGGGGGAGGUUUGUUUUCUACAUAGUUGCAUCCUGACGCUCAGCACUCCUGUCGUCUCACCUGCACUGCAAGUCCGCUGUGGUAAUAAUGCAUCCAGAUAAGUACUUACCUGAACUGGUGGCUGAGAAAAACACCCUGGAUCCCUGCUUUGUGCAUGCGGUGCGCCUGCUUGCAGAAGAGAUUGAAAAGUAUGACGGUGAUGAAUUGAGAAAAGAUGGCGACACAAAGAAAUACCUAGAUAUAAUCAGCAAUAAAAAUAUCAAGCUCUCCGAAAGAGUUCUCAUUCCCAUCCAACAGUAUCCAAAGUUUAAUUUUGUAGGGAAGCUGCUGGGACCGCGGGGAAAUUCUAUGAAACGAUUACAAGAGGAGACGGGAGUGAAGAUGUCCAUUCUCGGCAAAGGGUCCAUGAGGGAUAAAGGCAAAGAAGAGGAAUUACGGAAAAGCGGUGAAGCCAAAUACGCCCACUUGAGUAAUGAUCUCCACGUUUUAAUUGAAGUCUUCGCUCCACCUGGAGAGGCCUACUCUCGCAUGAGCCAUGCCUUGGAGGAGAUUAAAAAAUUUCUGGUCCCAGACUACAAUGACGAGAUCAGGCAGGAGCAACUGAGAGAGUUAUCCCUGUUGAACGGAUCCGACGAGUCGAGCAGAGGGAGGAGUGUACAGGCAAGAAGUGUGCGAACAACAACAACAAUAUCCACAAGGGGCCACAGAGGUGCAGGGAGGAGUGCAGCAGCGCCUCGGGGGACGGCGACGGCGGCACACAGCAAACUUCCUACGACGGUGGUGACGAGGGAGGUACAAGCUCCCAGAGCCAGGGGGGCAGCAGCGAGCGCCGGAUACAGACCCCCGCUGUUGGCGGUCACACACGAAUCGUACGACGACUAUGGCUACGAUGAUGGCUACGAUGGAGAAUACGACGACGAGAGUUACGAAACCUAUGAGGAUAACUACAACAAUCAGUCAAAGAGCAUUUCAGGAUAUUAUGAAUAUGGACACGGAACCAGUGAUGAAUCCUACAACAAUUAUGAGGAGGAGUGGGCGACCACCCGACCCAGUCUCAAAGCCCCCGUUCUACGGCUGACAAGAGGGGGCUACAGGAAACAUCCGUACGGCAGAUACUGAAGAUAAAGGAACACAGUGCAGUGUGUUUUGGUCAAAGCAGAGAGAACUCUACCAGAGCAGAAGGCACAGAAAUCGGCUCCCACAGGACUGAAGAUCGUACUCAGCCAUCAGACAUGCUCGGGUGCCUCAUCGGUCAGACAAGAAACCUGGUACGUAUUCAACUUUGUUCUCAACGAAACACCUAACAAAAGAGUUAUAGACAGUUUUCCUGGGUACGAGCUUGGAAAAGAUUAGUUGUGGAGCUUCUAUGAAGAAUUAUUGUGUCAGCCUAAUGCAAAAUUAACAAGACGUCUUCGGUUUGCACCUUGUGAAUCGAUCAUGUUGUCACACGGGAUGUUUUUCAAGGUUGUUUUCCUAGAAUAACAUCAUUGUAAAUCAUCAGUGAGCAACGAAAAUGUGUUCUUUAUUCGGCAAAUCUGUAAGAGACAGCAUUUUCAGGGAACAUGGCAAUAAAGCAGUUUAGACGAGACAAGUUGGAGCGAUUUCCUUCAUUCAUGGACGACUGUUCAUCAAAUCCAACUUCAGUUUUGCUGUAACUGCACAGAUCACCAAACUGCCAAGAAUAAGAUGAUUAUUAAGUAGCUGUAAGUGAAUAUUAAAACCGUCGCAAAAAUUGCUUCUUAUUUCCAACUCCUUUCUGUUCAGAGUGGCUUGUUUUUUCAGACUAACUCUCAUGUUUAUUUGCACCUAUGAGUUGGAAGUGAUCAGUGUUGCUGGAAGCUCCGUGUCUGCCAGUGAUGGUCCUGCAGACUUUGCCAGAAGCUCUCUCGGAUCCAUUUUCAUAACAAGCAUGCCGCCAGCUAGAAACCAGCCAAGAGCCGAAAUCCCACAGCCUGCUAUGGAUGUGGAUUCGUUUCUUAAAGAGAAUGCCGCUCAUGAAACUGCUCUCACACAGAUUACAAAAGAGAUUAAAAAUAAAUAAAGGCUCAUUACUCAUUGUACAUGUUUUCAUUGUGCACAAGUCUAAAGCGCUGAAAGACUUUGCAGCUGUCUUUGCAUCUCUUUUCACACACACUUGGAUCUAUAGUGAUACUUGUCCAUUAUGCCGGACUGUAUCCUCGGGCACAGUAAAAACUGGCAGCUGUUCACUUUGUUGGUUUGCAAAGUUUAUCACCUUUGGCAACUUUGUUUAUGCAGCCACAACACUCUUAAUAGAAUCCACAUCAGUCUAUUUAGACACUCCCUGUGCAUCUGUUCCUGUAAAAAAAGAAGAAAAAAGAUAAAGUCUACUUGUGCUAACUUGUGUUUAUUGUGCACAGAGAUGAAAUUGGACUUGGAGAGAAAAGAUAAGGAAAAAUGAAACAUGAUGGGAAAAACCCACAGGUUGCCAUGAAGCCAAGAAGUUCCCUCCCUGGUACAUAAUAAAACCUUUAACGUGUGCUAAAGCAUCUGAGUGUUAUGUUUUUUCAAGCUGUUAAAAUGUCCUCAGGUUAGAAAGUUUUCAUGUCAACCAAAAUCUGCACAAGAGGAGAGUUUUUGCAGUUAAAAAUGCACUGAAUUCACUUGUUAUAUUAUGUAUGUUAUCAGCAUAAUUUCUCCUCUGUUCAGUUUUAUUAAAGUGGUAUUUUGUAUUGUGGUCGGUCUUAUGGCCUCAAGUAAAGAAAAGUGAUUUUUUUUCUUCUUUUUUUUAAAAUCUCAACACGACUGCACCUUAUUUUAGCCGUGUUUAGAGGUGUUGUCAUCUGGCGGCUGCUGUCAUUACCAACCCGAGUGCACCCUGUGUCUGUUCCCAGCUCACUAAUAAAUGGUUCACUUAGUGCUGCCAACAUGAACAUGUUAGUUCAUUAAGCAAGUCGAGCCCACUGCUGGUGUUCUGGCCAAAUGUCACAGCUACUUUACAAGCCCAACCCGUCACUGCUGCUGGAAUAUAUACUUCAGCAGCCAGUCACAGCUCACCUCUUUGUCAUUUUCUGAGUGGUAGUCAUAAUGAAUGGCGCCGUCUGCGGCUCUACAUAUGGUGCUCUGUGAUUAACACUCGAGAUUGAUGGGAGCAAUACAGGCUUCUGUUCAAAUAAACGUUCAUGACUGUCCUCUUUCUGAAUUUGUGUGCUUGUAUUUGAUUUACUAAACAAUAAAUCGAUAGCCUCGUAAUGCAGGCAGCACGUCGCCGCUCCUCACAGCGUGCUCGACUUGAACAGCUUGCAGGGCUAACGAGUCAGAUUUCAUGCAGAAGAUCAUCCAUUUCUUAUCUCUUUCGGUGGAUGGGGAUUUUCAUGAAUCCAGCUCUAUUGUACGGCAGACUCAUUUCAUAAAAAAACACCCAUCCCUGAUUCUGGCAUUUGUUUAAUUCACUUGCUCCAUGCCAUAGCAUCCACACAGCCUGUCAGACAGUGUGGCAUUUAUCUUCCUCGAUGUCACUUGAUCUAAAUAUUGGAAACACAGAAGCACCGAAGUGGGUCAGGAUCUACACGAACACCCAGAAAUGUUCAAUGAUGCAAAACAGUGUAUGGUAAUAACUAACACGCAGCAUUUCCCCCAGCCAAGGACGGGUACCUGAGCAAACUCAGCUCUGUUUAGACAGCUGCUUGAUGACCCAGAAUAGGAAAUGAGGGCUUAUAAUCACCAGCGCCUAAAAGGGCCUCUUCACCAGCGUAGCACUUGUGAUGAAAUGCUUUGCAGAGUCAGAGCCCUGGAUGCGUUUUGAUGAUUUUCCACGUUGUUUCCUUGUGACAGGAGGGGAAGACGUGUAGCUUGAGCUGCAGUUUUUAGGAAGUUGCGUGUUUCUGCAGACAGAUAUAUGAUCUUAGCUCCAUUUUUUUUUUUUUGCAGAAAAGCCUUACCCCCAGGCUUAUUACAGCUAUUUUUAGAGAAAUAAUAGGUUUUGACAUGUUGUCUUGCACAGUGCACAUGGAUAAGCUCAGCACGCAAGUGAAUUGUGCUAACUAUGUUUUCUACACACCAAGUCAUUCAAAUAUUUCAAAAAUAAGGCUGUUUGGAUGUACAAAAUGUUUUGCAGGAUGUAGGUUUCCAUUUUUACCAGGAUUAAGUUGCCCAAUUAAAAAAAAAUCCCCCCAUAAAAUACACUGGAAAAACCAACUGCAUCAUUCAUUAUUGUGAUUUUGAACAGUCUGGGCUCACAGUGCAUAUUUGCUGGAGUCACUUUCGAGGAAAACUAAACCAGUCCACCCUGAGUAAUGUCUUCCAACAAACAGUGGAGUCUGAAUCUCUUCCAAAUGAGAGUGUUUUCAUGCAUAAUGCAGGUAUAAGCUGCUAAAGUCAUCUCCAUAUUUAGAUUACUAAUAGCUAUUUAUGAAUAAACAUAUUUCCUUGGCAACUGAGCAACUGCAGACUAGAAAUGCAAAGGCAAAUCAUGCCAGGUCAUCCGUAGCUUAUUAAGCUAUUGCAUCAGAUUUUUACAGAAUCUGAUGGAAAUGUACAUCCAUCCAUUCAUUUCGCUAUAUAUGCUUUAUCCUGUAUCCUGAAUCUGUACAGGAGGCCUUCUUACUGUGAGGCAACACUGCAAACCAGUGUAGAAUAUUUCUUAAUAGCUAAUUCACACAUUGCCGCCUGAAUUUUUAGAACACACCUUUACUUUGUAUUUGUCAAAAUUAUAUUAAGUCAAAUGCAUUCAUAAAACCUUUGCAUCAAUGGACCGGAGUAUGACUCAUCCAGAACACCUGUCUAAUUCAAGUAGUUUAUUUUGGACCAAUAUUAAACCACUUACAGUUUGUGGGGGGAAAAAUACGCUGUAGAUUUGCUUUGAACAUCCAUAGUUUGAAAUGAAGAAGUUUCAUUCAUUUUUAACCUACAUGUGAAAUAACACAUAGGUCUCAUCUGGUGCGAAACCCUGAAGGUACAUAGAAAAAUAUAAUAUUUAUGUUUUCAUUUCAUGUGAAAGUGAGUUUUGGUUUAACCCUCAGCGGUUUGCUUAUUAUAUAGAUCGGCUCACAGCCUGUAUGCGUUUCCAUCUCGUCCUCUGCUGCUUGUUGCAAUCUGAGAGUGCAACAGAUUACAACCUAUAUUCCAGUUAUUAUUUCAGGUGAGGUGCACCACUCCUAGAAACCCACAAAUCCAAUCUUCCCACAAACUACCUCAAAGAUGAAGAUGAAAGCGCUGCAUUCAUCUGGCAUCUGUUUCUCAGCUCUUUUAUGCUAUACAUACCCCCAUGAGUUCAAGUGCAAGAUACCAUGUCGGAUAAAUGCCUCUGACAGGCGAGACUAUGAUGUAGCUGUCAAGAUUCAGAGUCACGGAUGUCCCCGAUGAAGCCUUUUUGUUUUGUCUAGAUUGUAUUUCCUUUCACGGCAUAGGAAAUAGUACACAGUUGUUGAAUUUGAUCUGGAUGACAAAAGUACCUACAGGAGCUAUUGCUCAGAGGGCAAGGUGAUCCAUCCAGCCCACACAAACAGACAGCUAUUGAUUCAGCAGUUGAUUGUCAGUCAAGGUCAUGUUUGAGUCUUUUUGUCCCUGGGUACUUUAAUGAAGAGCGCAUGACAGGACUUUGCACUUUCUUUGCUCUUUACAGCCAAACAAUAGAAAUUAGUUUGGUGCAUUGCAUCUCUGCACAGGACAGUCAGUGGUGCUCACAGUAACUGGCAGUCAAUAACUGGGCUUUCUACACAAACAUAUAUAUGUAUGAGGAAUUAUAUAAGGAAUCACACAACCUGUGACUGUGCUGGAAGCAAGGGAGGAGAGAGACUGCAGGAUAAUUACUGACAGCUUCAGCUAUUGUCAAAAAUUCACGGUUCAACCCUGAACUCAAUAUGUGAGCAAAUGUAAUAGGAAAAUGCCCAUAUUCUCUUUAAAGUGCACGUGUAAGUUGAUGCCUCUAUUCAUUACAUUAGACAUGAACUGCUUUUGUCACCUGGGUUCAGGCAUAUGGGUUCUGUAAAGCAUCUUGAGCCUAUUCAAAUUGUAAUUGGCGUGAUAUAAAUAAAAUUGAAUUGAACUGAAUUGAAUUGAAUUGAGUUGGGGCUGCACUUCGCCUUACAGCAAAAAUAUCCCCGGUUCAAAUCCCGGGGUGGGCCUGGGAUCUUACUGCAUGGAGUUUGCAUGUUCUCCCUGUGCAUGCGUGGGUUUUCUCCGGGUACUCCGGCUUCCUCCCACAGUCCAAAAAUAUGCUGAGGUUAAUUGAUUACUCUAAAUUGCCCGUAGGUGUGAAUGUGAGUGUGUUUGUCUGUAUAUGUAGCCCUGCGACAGACUGGCGACCUGUCCUGGGUGUCCCCUGCCUUCGCCCGAGUCAGCUGAGAUAGGCUCCAGCACCCCUGCGACCCUAGUGAGGAUCAUUUGUUGUGAUGUUGCUGCUGAUUCAUUAAAAUCAGAUGAUUCGUGUUGAAGACAGGUUUAGUUCUAGUAUCAGAAGUGCAAGAAGAAAAAUGGAAGUUUAGUUCUGCUAUGUCAGAGAUUUCAGGAAUAAAAUAACUAAAUGAGUCUUUAUGCCUCCAACUUUAUUUUACAACAUUGAAAUAAUGAAAUAAUCACAGAUAAUAUAAAUAGCAGAGAAAACCUGAGUGUAAUUUCCUGAAAAGUCUAUGAAGGAAAAGCAGCUUUAUCCUGAAAGAUCAGAAUCAGCUCCAACAUCUGCAUCAGACAGCAUCAAGUCAACCAGAAAGAAAAGAAAAAAGAAAAUGACUUCUUUCCGUUCACAUCUGUUCUGCUGCUCACAUUCUUCACCUUUAUAGUCCACUUUGAAAAGUUCAGCAGACAGGUGCUCUGCUUUGGAGUGUGACGAUGUCGUCGGUGAUGUGGAGAGUGAAGCUUCCGUUUCACCCACAGCGUGCUUUAGGACACCCGGGUUGGACUUGAUGUCUGAAAUGCUGACCGACAGCUCAGAUUUAACUGUCUGUAGUUCUGUUUUGAUUGAUGUUAAAUAUUCACUGAAAGCCGCCAGGAGCUGGGUCUUUAAAAUAACCGCCGUCUCAUUACAGAGUGAAAGUAGCAGUUCCUCCUUAAGGUCAGAGAUUGCAGCAUCUGAGGACCUCUUCAAAAGAAGACGUAGUUGAUGAAAAUAUACUGGAGCAGGACCAGAAAGACCAUGACCAGCAAUCCUGGAGAUCUUAGGCAGUGUCUCCCUCAGGUGGGUGUCAACGGUGUUCACAGUCAGGUCUGUGGUAAUCCUGUCAAAAAACAAAACAGAAAAAAAUCUAGAUUAUAAAUCAACAUGUAACCAAAGCACUGUGUGUAUAACGCCAUAGUAUAGGAUGUCAGAAAAUGUCAAAGUAUAGUAUACUUUUCAAGAAUAACAUAGCAUGGCCUGUAGUUCAUAGUAUAGCAUGUUGGCAAAAAAACCCAUAGAUUAUUAUGUGGUUGAAAAAGUGCAAAAUGAUAGGAUGUUGCUUAAAAUUGUCAUGUGUGGUAUGUGGUUCAAAAAAUGUCAUAGUGCAGUAUAUUGUCAAAAUAGUAUGUUAUUCAAGAAAACAGAGUAUAACUCUGCCUUGGCUCUACCCAUGUAGUCACUUGGAAACUAUGAUGUCAAAGGGACGACGGAAUCAUGUUUAUUUUGUCUGAUCUGUAGCUUAGUAAGUUAAAGAUAUGCUUUUGGAGCUGCAGGUUGCUGGUUCAAGACCAGACCCUUUUUAAAAAUUUUUGAAAAACUUAGACAAAGGAACAAAGUAAAAUGCCUGCACUGAGACUUGAUCCUGCUACCUUCCACUUGGUAGUCUCUCUUCUUAUCCACCUGAGCUACUCACACAGAUGCUGAUUUUUCUUAUUUUUUGUGUAUUUAUCAUCGAUUUUUUUGUCGUUUUUGAGGUUUUUUUUAACUCAAGUUUCAUCUUGACCAUUUUUCUCAGGAGGUUGGACUUCAGCCUUUGUGCUGGAGGGUUGAACCCUCAGUUCCAAAACUUUCCAAAGUCUCCAGACCUCCCAAGUCCUCAGGACCUGAGCUUUCACAUAGUCUGAGGGCUGAAAUUUUCUAAGUCCCACAGUGGAUCUCUGUUAGAUUUAACUUUCAGACAGUCCAAGGACUGAUAUCUUCUAAGUUCCUGAGUAGUUCUGUGUUAGUUUGAACCUUUUGACACUGAGGACUGAAAACCUAAAAGUUCUUGAGCAGUUCUCUGUUAGUUUGAAAUUUCUGGUUCACAGAAGCCUUAAAACUUGUGACCAUGAGUCUUGAUUUCACAUUUAGACCAUAGAUCCGAGUUCUUCUCAGACCUUCACCUGUGGGUUCUUUAGAAAUCCUGAACAAACUUUGAUUCUCUUCACUGAACAGUAACGUUUGUGGAGAUCAAAAGGUAACAUUAGUUCGAUCGAUGCCUUCAACUACUAGUAGACUUUAUCUGGAAAGCAGUUUUCUGAAAUGAGUUCUUAGUAAAUCUGUCCACAGUCAAACUAAGAUCAUAGAAAGAGGAAAUGAAGAGGAAUUAAAUCUUUGAAUGUUGACCUAAAAGGUUGGUUUCAGGAAUUAUUCCACCUACAAGGUCCUCACACAUCCACCGUAAAGGAACAUUCCACCAAAAAUCCGUGGACAUGCACCUAAAAUCUUGGUUUAGCCAAGUAUUCCAUCCAAAAUCCUCAAAGAGACCUGAGGGGCUGGUUAAAAGGAAUAUUCCACCUAAAACCUCAACUUGGGCAGUAUGUGUAGCAGCGACAGUCGAAAGAGGCCCUCUCUGGGUGGAAGAACCUCGUCUGACUGGCAGCUCCCUUUCUGCUCUUACCUUACUCACUAAACUCAAGUACCAUGUGGGGAGGCAUGGCUCAGUGGGUAGAGUGGCCGUCUUGUAACUGGAAGGUUGCCAGUUUGAUCCUCGGCCCGUUGAGCUCAUGUUGAGGUGUCCCUGAGCAAGACACUGAACCCCUAAUUGCUCCUGGUGGGUUGUGGUUAGCGCCUUGCAUGACAGCUUCCGCCAUCAGUGUGUGAAUGGGUGAAUGUGGUGUAUCAUGUAAAGCGCUUUGGAUAAAAGCACUAUAUAAAUACAACCAUUUACCAUGGAGGACUACAGUAGUCUAUGUUGACAAAUGCAAAAAGAGGAGGUGCUCUCGGAAGUCCACAGUGCCAGACCACCCCCCCGGCCUGUUCGAUGGCUGCGUCUGGACCAUGGACCUGCAACACAAGAACACCUGCUCGCUGUGAAAGAUUAUUGAGAGCAGUGUUUGUGAUUUCUAUGUAGAACACUAUGAUGUUUGCUGAGCUGUGCUCUAUUAAAUGAUUUAAGAAUA